This 960-nucleotide long non-coding RNA is filed under the name Brassica napus (rape). Its description in RNAcentral is "long non-coding RNA (BNAP_LNC005714)". The record is from RNAcentral. Lineage: Eukaryota; Viridiplantae; Streptophyta; Magnoliopsida; Brassicales; Brassicaceae.
GUGGUGUCGAUCAGAUCGACGGCUGUGAGUUCGAUGAUCGAACGGCUGGGAUUAAUUGCGACGGAUAUUACGAUGAUAUGAUGAUGAGUGGCGUUAAUCAUUGGGGUGGUUCGGUUUACACUAACCAACCCAUCAUGGCCAAUGAUAUCAAUAUGUAUUGAAUUAAAAUUAAUUAUAAAAACUAGUAUUAUUGCCCCCUUUAUUAUUCUUAAGUUUAGCUUUUUGUGGUUUGGGGUUGGUGUGGAGAUGUAGCAAAGUACAUGCAUCUUGAUUGUUUGGAAGGAUAAAUAAACUUAUAUAUUGGGGCAUAUAUAUAGGCUGUCCUUUGUUAUGUAUUGGUGUGCGCUUUUUGUUUAUUAAUAAUAAUAUAAAUUUUGAAUUUGAAUGUUAUGGUUGAUAGGAUUUAGUUAUCAUCAUUUCUCCCUCUUGUCAUACUAUACUUAUUCUGUUUACGUAAACAAUUAUCAAAUUCUAUAUACCAAUAGAGUUAUUUUCUUAUAAAAGAACUUAUAAUGUGAUUUUCUUUCAACUAAUUGGCUACAUAACUGAUUUGCUUAGAAUCUUGGAAAGCAUUUGUUGGAAUGGUAAAUUUUAGAAUGAUCCCAAAUUCACAUUCUGAAUAGUUCUUAUAUGAUUAUUUAGGUUAAUUUGAACUCUAACUUAAGUACUAUUAGAUUUUUAUAAAAAAAAUUACAAAAUUUUGUUUAAUAGAAAUAAUAAUUACAUCUAUAAUUUAUGAAUUUUGAUUUUAUAUAAUUAUUUAAAUAAAUAAUUGUACAUUAUUUAUUUUAGUUAAUUUUAUAAAACUUAAGUUUUGAAAAUUAAUUGAUAGAUUAAAUUAUUUAACUAUAUCAUGGCUAAUGAUAUCAAUAUGUAUUGAAUUAAAAUUAAUUAUAAAAACUAGUAUUAUUGCCCCCUUUAUUAUUCACCUUGUUUUCUUCUUCUCCUAAUUGCUUUUUA